Molecule: long non-coding RNA, 885 nt
Filed under: Durio zibethinus
Lineage: Eukaryota; Viridiplantae; Streptophyta; Magnoliopsida; Malvales; Malvaceae
Description: long non-coding RNA (DZIB_LNC000082)
Source: RNAcentral
UUUUUAGAUAUUUUAAUUUUUUACAACAAAAUUUCACAAUAAUAAUAAAUAAAUAAAAUCUUAAAUCAUAAUUUUUUACAGUAAGUUUUACAACAUUUCAAAUACACUAUUUCAAAUCAAUUUUUUUCUAAUUUAAACAACAAUACUAAACUAGUUCGCGUAGUAUUAUACAGUUGCUUUUUUAUUAAAAAAAUAAAAAUAAAAAUAAAAACAAAAACGCUUUCUUACGAGCUACAGCAGAGCCCUUGCCCUGGCCCUGGCCCUGGAGUCCAGGUAGGGCCACCUGGUGCUAAAAAGGCCGCAAAACACUUGCCUUCUCGAGUCUGCCAAAAGAAAAAAACAUCUGCUACCUCAAAUGUCACGAUAACCAGGCGUGCAGAUGCUGUAGCGUGCAUCAUCUUGAUCAAACCUAGAAAGAUCAGAACUGUAAAUGCAGGAAGUAGCUAGCUGCACGCACAGUAAUCAACGAAAUCUUACUUCAUUGGUUCUAUGAUGAUUGGGACGGCUGGUGAUUAGGGAUGUCAACGGAUCAGGGAAAUUUUCAGCACCUCUUUCUUUACAGCCUUAGUCAAUCAAAUAGGGGCUGGGGCGCUGUUCUUAAACAGAAGAAUGGUGAGAAAGAGAUUGAUUGUGGGGAAGCGAAGAGAGGCUCUUCCUCUAGUGAGGUGGUCUGAAGGAUAAAAACCUAAGAGUUUAGGUGGCUUGGGUCUUUGUUCUAUGAGGGGAAUGGCUAUCCGCCUCUCAUCCCAAUCCUUCCGGUUAAGCAUACAGAGCAAAAUUAAAAUCAGGUGAUCCGAUCCGAAAUUUUUUUCUUUUAAUAUUCGAAUCCAUAUUAUAUAAAUAAUAUACGAUCUCAAUUUGAUCCAAAAUUAAUAAAUAUUAUUU